AUUUGUUGCCCAGAGUGAUGGGCUCCGAAGCUAACGCGAUAAAUCGACCGCUGGGGAGUACGGCCGCGAGGUUAAAACUCAAAUGAAUUGACGGGGGCCCGCACAAGCGGUGGAGCAUGUGGUUUAAUUCGAUGCAACGCGAAGAACCUUACCUGGUCUUGACAUCCAUAGAAUUCUGCAGAGAUGUGGGAGUGCCUUCGGGAACUAUGAGACAGGUGCUGCAUGGCUGUCGUCAGCUCGUGUUGUGAAAUGUUGGGUUAAGUUCCGCAACGAGCGCAACCCUUAUUCUUUGUUGCCAGCGAUUUUGGUCGGGAACUCAAAGGAGACUGCCGUUGAUAAAGCGGAGGAAGGUGGGGACGACGUCAAGUCAUCAUGGCCCUUACGACCAGGGCUACACACGUGCUACAAUGGCGUAUACAAAGGGAAGCGAAGGUGCGAGCUGGAGCGGAUCUCAUAAAGUACGUCUAAGUUCGGAUUGGAGUCUGCAACUCGACUCCAUGAAGUCGGAAUCGCUAGUAAUCGUAGAUCAGAAUGCUACGGUGAAUACGUUCCCGGGCCUUGUACACACCGCCCGUCACACCAUGGGAGUGGGUUGCACCAGAAGUAGAUAGCUUAACCGCGAGGGGGGCGUUUACCACGGUGUGAUUCAUGACUGGGGUGAAGUCGUAACAAGGUAACCA
Molecule: ribosomal RNA, 680 nt
Filed under: uncultured Providencia sp.
Lineage: Bacteria; Pseudomonadati; Pseudomonadota; Gammaproteobacteria; Enterobacterales; Morganellaceae
Description: bacterial SSU rRNA
Rfam family: Bacterial small subunit ribosomal RNA
Source: RNAcentral